RNAcentral lists this transfer RNA (71 nucleotides) under Phymateus morbillosus. RNAcentral's name for it is "tRNA-Leu". It matches the Rfam family "tRNA". From Rfam's summary of the family: Transfer RNA (tRNA) molecules are approximately 80 nucleotides in length. Their secondary structure includes four short double-helical elements and three loops (D, anti-codon, and T loops). Lineage: Eukaryota; Metazoa; Arthropoda; Insecta; Orthoptera; Pyrgomorphidae. The record is from RNAcentral.
UAAGAUUCUAAUAUGGCAGAGUAAUGCAAUAGAUUUAAGCUCUAUGUAUAAAGAUUUGUCUUUUAUUAGAA